UACGUAGGCAGCGAGCGUUGUUCGGAAUUACUGGGCGUAAAGAGUGUGUAGGCGGUGCUCCCAGUCUGUUGUGAAAUCUCCCGGCUUAACUGGGAGGGUGCGCCGAAAACUGGAGUGCUCGAGCGUGGGAGAGGAAAGCGGAAUUCCUGGUGUAGCGGUGAAAUGCGUAGAUAUCAGGAGGAACACCAGCGGUGAAGGCGGCUUUCUGGACCGUUGCUGACGCUGAGGCGCGAAAGCGUGGGGAGCAAACAGG
Molecule: ribosomal RNA, 253 nt
Filed under: uncultured bacterium
Lineage: Bacteria
Description: partial 16S ribosomal RNA
Rfam family: Bacterial small subunit ribosomal RNA
Source: RNAcentral